AUUGAACGCUGGCGGCAGGCUUAACACAUGCAAGUCGAGCGAGCGGCGGACGGGUGCGUAAUGUCUGGGAAACUGCCUGAUGGAGGGGGAUAACUACUGGAAACGGUAUCUAAUACCGCAUACCAUCAGAUGUGCCCAGAUGGGAUUAGCUAGUAGGGGGGGUAAUGGCUCACCUAGGGGACGAUCCCUAGCGGGUGUGAGAGGAUGACCAGCCAAACUGGAACUGAGACAGGGUCCAGACUCCUACGGGGGGCAGAAGGGGGGAAUAUGGAACAAGGGGCGCAAGCCUGAGGCAGCCAUGCCGCGUGUGUGAAGAAGGCCUUCGGGUUGUAAAGCACUUUCAGCGAGGAGGCGUUACUCGCAGAAGAAGCACCGGCUAACCCCGUGCCAGCCGCCGCGGUAAAC
This 405-nucleotide ribosomal RNA is filed under the name uncultured bacterium. RNAcentral describes it as "partial 16S ribosomal RNA". It matches the Rfam family "Bacterial small subunit ribosomal RNA", at positions 29 to 525 of the family's 1533-position model. The record is from RNAcentral.